RNAcentral lists this long non-coding RNA (516 nucleotides) under Marmota monax (woodchuck). The record is from RNAcentral. Lineage: Eukaryota; Metazoa; Chordata; Mammalia; Rodentia; Sciuridae.
CUUGAAUGAUUUGUUUGUUGGCAUGACCCCAACCCUGCUGAUGCUCCACCUGUUCUUCUGGAACUUCAACACUUUCCAGAUGAAGUGUGACUUUUUUCUCCUCUUUUGGUCACCAAAUUGUGGGUCAAUGUAGCCUCUGCAUAAGGUCCAUCCUCUGACCAGAUUAAUUGCCCAAUCCAAACCCGUUUCUUAUCUAUGCUACCAUGUGGGCUCAUGAAAGGGAAUACAGGUCAAGUACCUGAUACAUAGCCAGCACUUUGAAUAUAUCAGUAAGUCAUUGUGUUAAUGAAUUUGUUUGGCAAAGACAAAUUCUUGAGUCAUCUGAACAUACACAUGAGAUUGUGUUUGUGAUAGCACCCAUGCUCAUGCACCAUACUAGACAGGGAGCAAACAGCUACUUUCCCUCCACAGUCCAAAGUAGACAGAGCAGCUUCCACUAAUAACCAUUUCCCCUGCUUGUUUCUGUGAGAAAGAUGGUGCACAGAGGAACCUGGGGCAUGUGAUUCUGAUAUAUGA